UCGAACGAGAAAGUGGAGCAUCCAUGAGUAAAGUGGCGCACGGGUGAGUAACACGUGACUAACCUACCCUUGAGUGGGGGAUAACCUAGGGAAACCUGGGCUAAUACCGCAUAAUACCUUCGGGUCAAAGGAGCAAUUCGCUUAAGGAGGGGGUCGCGGCCGAUUAGUUAGUUGGCGGGGUAAUGGCCCACCAAGACUAUGAUCGGUAUCCGGCCUGAGAGGGCGCACGGACACACUGGAACUGAAACACGGUCCAGACUCCUACGGGAGGCAGCAGUGGGGAAUUUUGCGCAAUGGGGGAAACCCUGACGCAGCAACGCCGCGUGGAGGAUGAAGUCCCUUGGGACGUAAACUCCUUUCGAUCGGGACGAUUAUGACGGUACCGAGAGAAGAAGCCCCGGCUAACUUCGUGCCAGCAGCCGCGGUAAUACGAGGGGGGCGAGCGUUGUUCGGAAUUAUUGGGCGUAAAGGGUGCGUAGGCGGUUUGGUAAGUCUUGUGUGAAAUCUUCGGGCUCAACUCGAAGUCUGCAUGAGAAACUGCCGGGCUUGAGUGUGGGAGAGGUGAGUGGAAUUCCCGGUGUAGCGGUGAAAUGCGUAGAUAUCGGGAGGAACACCUGUGGCGAAAGCGGCUCACUGGACCACAACUGACGCUGAGGCACGAAAGCUAGGGGAGCAAACAGGAUUAGAUACCCUGGUAGUCCUAGCCCUAAACGAUGAUCGCUUGGGUGUGACGGGUACCCAAUCCCGCCGUGCCGAAGCUAACGCGUUAAGCG
Molecule: ribosomal RNA, 773 nt
Filed under: uncultured bacterium
Lineage: Bacteria
Description: bacterial SSU rRNA
Rfam family: Bacterial small subunit ribosomal RNA
Source: RNAcentral